CCUACGGGAGGCAGCAGUAGGGAAUUUUCCGCAAUGGGCGAAAGCCUGACGGAGCAAUACCGCGUGAGGGAUGACGGCCUGUGGGUUGUAAACCUCUUUUCUCAAGGAAGAAGUUCUGACGGUACUUGAGGAAUAAGCAUCGGCUGACUCUGUGCCAGCAGCCGCGGUAAUACAGAGGAUGCAAGCGUUAUCCGGAAUCACUGGGCAUAAAGCGUCUGUAGGUUGUUUAGUAAGUCUGCUGUUAAAGACUGGGGCUUAACCCCAGAAAAGCAGUGGAAACUGCUAGACUCGAGUGUGGUAGAGGUAGAGGGAAUUCCUAGUGUAGCGGUGAAAUGCGUAGAUAUUAGGAAGAACACCAAUGGCGAAGGCACUCUACUGGGCCAUAACUGACACUGAGAGACGACAGCUAGGGGAGCAAACGGGAUUAGAUACCCCGGUAGUCCUAGCCGUAAACGAUGGAUACUAGAUGUUGCACGUAUUAACCCGUGCAGUAUCGUAGCUAAGGCGUUAAGUAUCCCGCCUGGGAAGUACGCUCGCAAGAGUGAAACUCAAAGGAAUUGACGGCNGAGAGNGCGAGACGACGACGAGGAGAG
Molecule: ribosomal RNA, 593 nt
Filed under: uncultured bacterium
Lineage: Bacteria
Description: bacterial SSU rRNA
Rfam family: Bacterial small subunit ribosomal RNA
Source: RNAcentral